RNAcentral lists this ribosomal RNA (252 nucleotides) under uncultured bacterium. Its description in RNAcentral is "partial 16S ribosomal RNA". It matches the Rfam family "Bacterial small subunit ribosomal RNA", at positions 524 to 776 of the family's 1533-position model. The record is from RNAcentral.
UACGGAGGGUGCAAGCGUUAUCCGGAUUCACUGGGUUAAAGGGUGCGUAGGCGGGCAGGUAAGUCCGUGGUGAAAUCUCUGAGCUUAACUCAGAAACUGCCAUGGAUACUAUUUGUCUUGAAUAUUGUGGAGGUAAGCGGAAUAUGUCAUGUAGCGGUGAAAUGCUUAGAUAUGACAUAGAACACCAAUUGCGAAGGCAGCUUACUACACAGUUAUUGACGCUGAGGCACGAAAGCGUGGGGAUCAAACAGG